RNAcentral lists this long non-coding RNA (5781 nucleotides) under Sus scrofa (pig). RNAcentral's name for it is "lncRNA (ENSSSCG00055029323.1)". Lineage: Eukaryota; Metazoa; Chordata; Mammalia; Artiodactyla; Suidae. The record is from RNAcentral.
UUUUUUUUUUUGGCAUCUUUUAAUUCUUUUGUAAUGAUCAUGAAAAAUAAUUUAAAAAUUAAGUUAGAGGAAUGAAAAAAAAAUUAAUAAAAAUUAGGCCCCCCUAAAGACUAUUUUGCUGUGAAAUUUGUGAUGCUUUAAUCUUAGGAAUCUGUAAAGGGAACUGAAUGACUUUCUUCUUUGAAUUACGGAGGAAUUCAACCGUUUUAUACCAGUGCUCUUCAAUAUGUGUCAUGGAGGAACAUCGGAAAGAAGAUCCCCAAAAUUUUGAGGACUCUGCGGUACAAAGAGUCAGAGAGAGGUAACUUGAAUUUCUGUGGGACUGGGGACCCCACUAUUUGUACUAGUUUCCCCUAACUGUUAUCAACCAAAAAGCAUACAACUGACAGAGCUCCAUCUCCUUUUUGGAAUCUCUGGUGUUAAUUCCUAGUUAAAGGCCACAUCAUCCUAGCGACACAAAAAAUAUGAAUUUAUUAAUUCCAAAUUAUCCUCACAGAACUCCAGCCAUCCACAGGACUGGACUUUUUUCCAUGUGCUCAGGAAAGAUGUAGACAACCCAUUCAUUUGAUUAAAAAGAAAAGGAAGCAGGCAAGCAAGAAGAAAUGUUGAAAGUCAGGUGAAUGAGACUAUCAAAUUACAGAGCUGGUAUAAAUGGUGCACUUAAUCCUAAGUAGCAUGUGACACAGAGAAACUAUGACAACACUUUGCAUUUCCUUAAGAUGAUCACUCAGCAGGUCACAUUUCCAAACAAUUUCACCAGUGCCAUAUUGUAUUACAAACCAUCCUUAAAAGAUGGAUCAAUAGCAAACUCACUGAGGAAUCAGCAAACUCUUCAGUGGCUAAAUGAUUUCCACAAGGUCAGACGGCAAGGGAUCUGACUUGUAGAGCAAAAAUAUUCCCAGGCCUGUCCCCGAUCCCAGGACAUUUAUUUUCAUUAACACAGUACAAAUACAUGUUAUCCCCCACUGUUUUGCUGGAGAUGUUCACAUGGCGUUUAAGUAAACAUGCUAACAUUUUUAAAGUUUAACAUGCUACUAUUGCCAGUUUUUAAUAUCAUUCCAAGGAUUUCACAAAGGUUAAACGAGGGAUCAACGCCGACGAGCCCAUCUCGGAUAGGUAAAACAAACUGAAAACCGAAGGAUGAAGUUUUGGGAGAGAAGUGCAAGUGGGGAGGGGCGUGGGGAGAACCAACAGAGAGUGGUAGGUAAUGAAAUACUGGGGUUGCGGGGAGAGGAGUGUAGUCGGGCUCCAUCCACGAACGCCAUCUGUAUAAAUCAGGCCUGGAGUUGACAUGUAAUUUUGUGUGGGUCCCCUGAGAAGUGGCCCUCGGGGCUUCAUUAUUGAUGAAGAGAUUUUUCUUCAAAGUGGCCUAGUCAGGAGUGCCUCAAGGGGACAUUCAUAAGCACUCAUAAUAUCAAUUUCCAAGCACCUGGGAGGGAGAGACACAGAUUGUCUCUUUAAUUAUUAUGAUGGAGGUAGAGGGUAGGGAGAAUGCUAUUACACGACCAAGCUGAAAUCCUCCAAGAAAUUAAAUUACUAUAACCUGGUAGAAAAGUUUUAUUAUCCCCUGGUCAUCCCUUAGAAAAGGGCACACUUUACCUACUCCUGGUGCAAAAUAAGUUGAUCGCCAACUCCCUCCCUCUUAGGAGUUAAAAAUGGUAUAAAUACAGUAUGUCAGGCAUGUGCAAAAACCCCAAAAAAAUAAAUAAAUAAACUUUCUUUGAAGCUUAUGUGCUCGCUUAGAGAACCUAUACAGUCCAGUUGAUACAAAGAGAUGUGGAAUUAGGCACCUUUUUUAAUAAUUGCGUAGGGAUUUCUUUUCAUAAAAGGAUAAUACCAAAUCCCUUCUAAAUAUCAUUGAGAAUGCCAGGAAAUAAUUUUCACCAAUGCUCUGGCCCUGAUUUAGUCACAAAAACAGUCAGAAAAACACCAAAGACUCAAUCCACAAAUAUACUGCAGUAAAACAGUAAAGGUUAGGGGGCAGGGGGCCAGUCAACCCUGGAUUUGAAUCUUAUUCCCAGUCUAUUCAAUGUGGAUAAUCCUGUAUAGACAAAGCCUUAGCCACAUACUUCCUUUGACUCCUGAAGCUUAUACUAAAGGGUUGGCAAUAUAACGGGUAUUAAAAAUAUUUUUUAAACAUAAAUAAAAGAAAAAUGAAGAGGAUCUCCUUGUUUGACCUGAAUUUCAAAAAACUCUUCCAUCUCAUUGGUAACACGGACAAAAAGAACUCAGGAAUUUUCUCAUAAGUCAUAUCUAUACUAUUUUUUAAUCUAUAAUAAGUCUCUUUCAUAAUUCUUUAACUUCAUUCUCCCUUUCCAAAUAUAUUUUAACAGCCAUUGAUACCAGUAGUGAAUUCUUAGAAUUGAACACUCCAGCCAAAUGGCAUCUUCAUAAAACAUAUGGUAUAUCCAUAAUAAUAAUAAUAUUUAAAAUAACCACAACCAUUCAAAAAGCAUAUAUUUUAAGUGAUGGAUGCUAAGGCAUUUUAAGUACAUGAAUCCAAUUAAUCCUUAUAACUAAUGCAUGAAAUAAAUUAAGAUUCAAUCCACUGACAGGGGGAAAAAUGGCAGUCCAGGAAACAAUGUGACCACAAUCAUACAAAUAAAAAAAUAACAGAGCCAGAAUCUGAACCCAGGCCUGUUUUAAUACAAUGGGUUUUUUUGUUUGUUUUUUUUUUGUUUAAACUACCCAUAAAACAAAGCUUGAUUUUGUGAGAUACAAAAUCAAAAAUUUUAUACCAAAGUACUGAGUUUCUAACAUCAUUAUUCAGACAACUGUGGUGAAGAGUCUAAAAGAGAAGUUGUAUGUUGAGUUAAACACAGAUGUUUCGUAUCUGCUAGUAUAACAUUUUAAUUAAAAGCAAUGGGAGCAGUAUUAAUUAUGAGCCACAGAAAAGCUAUAAUCCUGUUAAGAGUUAUCAGCAGUAUAACUGGCUCUAGGAUAUCUGUGAACACCCACAUUAUUGAUGUUUGAGGCCAAAAAAACACCUUUUGUCUUGAUACGGAGGAUUAAGAGCAAAUGAAGUCCAGGAGGCAAAACAGGUCACAUCUGAAAAUCAAAAUCCUGAUGACAGCUAAAUUUAUAAUCUUAGAAUGCUUUAUUAAAUAGUUUUUCAUUAAGGCAGGAUAUAAAUGACACAGAAAUUUCCUUAUAGUUUUUAGGAUUGAGGAUUUUUUCCUCUUAUUUGUCAUUGUGUGCACCUAGCUUCAAGAAGCAGGAAAGCAAAUUGGCCAAUUCUACUUUUCGAUCUCUUUAGCCAUACCGAAGCCUAGAAUACAUCAGACUUCUUAUCAUAUCCUCUUCACCAACAUUAUUUCAGGACCAUCUGUGUUCAGUCUCAUUGUCUUUAAUUUUAAUGUUUCUAACUUUGUGACUUUAUGCUAAUUAUUGGAGAUCUCACACAGUGACCACACAUGUUUACCUUACGGGAAGGGUCUGUUUUUCAGCUCUUGUGUUGUUGCUUGUUCUUACACAGAGUUUGGUAAAAUGGUGUACUCAAAUAGUUAAGGAAAGAUAUGAUUGCUUUGUGAUCAUCCAGUUAUCUCGGCAGUUUGACUCAAGAUCUUCUUGGUGUUUUUAUUAAUUCCUUACUGUAAACGGAGAGUUUUCCAAAAAUGGAUUUUCCUUCUAGAAUGUAAGAAAGGCUAUUGAAUUUUAGCACAUUUUUACAAUUAAGUAAUCAGUCAACACUAUCCGCUAUGAUUAAGAUGAAGCAGAUCCAAUCUAAAACUCUCCCUAGUGAUAGAUUCAUCAUUAGUCAUUAAUCUCACAUUUUUAAUUAAACUACUGAAACCAGAUUUGAAUUCAUGUGUAGGGGGCAGAAUUAAAAAAAAAAAUACCAUCCUUAAUUACAGACAUAUGUAGUACCUUGAAACUACAAGGAGCUAUCAUUUGAACAACUCUCCAAAUUUGGAGUAACUUCCCAAAUCACAUAAUCAGACACAUUUCUACUGCCCAGCUAAAUUUCCUAGGAAGGAGAAAUACUUUAUAAUUAAGAAAGUAUUGUCCACAGGACAGCCUAAAGUAGGAAGGACAGGCAUAUUUUUAACAACUCAAAUUCACACACACACAAAAUUUUUUUUGAAUUUUAGUGCUUUAAAAUCCUUGGCAAUUCAAGAUGGCAUUCCUAGGAUUUGGGGCACACCCAAUUAAUAAAAGGAAGGAGACAAAAAUGGACUCAACAAAACACAUUGAAGUUUAAAUAAAUAAAUAGCCCAUAGUUUCUGCAAAGUUGAAUCCUCUCCUUCAGGUCUCUGAACCUCCUCUCUUCUCAGGGGCAAAAUCAGUUACAGUAAAGGGAUUUGGGAAUAUCUUUUGCCAUCUCUACCAAUUCAUAAGCCUUUUUACAAAAUUCUCCUUAAAAUUUCCUUUCUCCAAGUAGUUUCCAUUAUACUCCCAUCUUUCUAAAGCCAUCGUUUUAUUAUCUUUUCUUAAUAAACUGAAAAUUAUCGAUUUUCUUCUCAAAUGAACAGAAGUCACAGUUAUCAAGAAUUUAGAAACCAUUUCUAUUUGACUCUGAAUGCAUGAUGAUUUUGUGGACACUGGACUGAAAUCCUAUUUUUAAAUCCAAAGUAAAUUUGAAAUGACCCCUAAAUUUUAUAACCCCUAAAGAGUCAUUGACUGAUAAUUCUAAGAACAGACCUUGACUUGGGGUGGUGGAAAUAGCAGUUUAGUUCAACUAUAAAUAAUUACCAAAAUUACCAAUAUUCAAAGAGUUAAUUAAAAGCUCACUGUUCUGCAUAUAUUUUCCUUCAGCCAGACUUCCAUAGUAAAUUCUCAAUUAGCCAUGUCAGUGGAGGGGAACAAGGCAAUGAACAAAAGUGAACUCUUCCAAAAUCAUCUUUACUUGCUUUGAAGAGUGCAGAUAUUGACAUUAGACCAGAUGUCAAUUCAAAGGAAAUGAAGUUAUCUGUGACGGUGUGGUUAAGGUCAGGGAAAGUGAUCAAUGCCUGAUAACCACCUUUUUGGAAACCUUCCAGGAAAAUUUGUGCUCAAAAGUGAUUCUUAACAAAAUUCAUUUGUAUCCCAAAAGUAAGCCCACAGAGUAAAAAUAACUUUUAUAAGCAUGUACCAUUAAUGAACUUUCAAAUAUUCAUUAGCUCAGAGGCAGUGAUUUCCCUACAGAGAGUUUUUCUAUGUUUUUAUUUUUAGCAUGUUUUGCCCUUUCUCUUGAUAAGAUGCCAACUUGUGACAUUUGUUUAUUAUCCUAUUAUUUUCCUUACUUAGCAUGUUAUGCAGUUUGACUCAGAGAAGCUAGGUAACUUAACCAAGGUCACUUGUGUAAAUGGGGGUAGAACUAAACCUCAACCACAGGCCGUGUGGUCCAGACCCCAGACCUGGCACCGCAUUAAAAUAUCUGGAAAAAAAGCCUGCCUUCUCGUAUCACCUCUACCAUUAUUAUAAUGACAAUAAUUUUUGAAUAAAUGAGCUAGGUUUCUUGCUUAGUAUAUAUGAUCUGCUAAUGCAUGCUUGCUAUGCCUAUCUUCCAGCCCAGGGAUAUUCCAGUUUUGAAGUCUAAUGACCUGUUUUUCAGGCUCCUAACCCUUCAAACUCUGAUGUGAUACUGGAUUAAGGCUAGAAAUAUGGAAUGAGCACCCCAAACAAUUCUGUAUACCUCAAAACCUUUUUUUUUCCCCCAGAAACAAAAAUGUUUCUUGGCUGGUUCACUGAAACUGAGGUUCUAUAGGGAGCUUACAGUUAAAAAUGAAAUCACUAUUAUAGUGGGUUGUCACCAUCACCUCCUGUUCUUUUCACGCUUAUCAACUGAACGCAUACUCUGUU